RNAcentral lists this long non-coding RNA (233 nucleotides) under Solanum tuberosum (potato). RNAcentral describes it as "long non-coding RNA (STUB_LNC008397)". The record is from RNAcentral. Lineage: Eukaryota; Viridiplantae; Streptophyta; Magnoliopsida; Solanales; Solanaceae.
UAUGAAAAUAUCAUGUUUCUGUGUUCCUCCAUGGUUCGAUAACAAAGAGACAUGCCCCUUGUGUUGUACAAGUAUUACUAAAUAUAUGUAUGUAAGCUUUGCUGGAGUUGCUAUAUUUUCUUUGUAAUUUGAAUUCUUAAGAUGCAUGAUUUCAACAAUCACAUGCAAGUACUUAGUAACGUUUGAUAUUGUGUUUUGGCUGCUAAUCUUAAUAGUUACAUGGCUACACCAAC